This 444-nucleotide ribosomal RNA is filed under the name Episcia sphalera. RNAcentral's name for it is "eukaryotic LSU rRNA". The record is from RNAcentral. Lineage: Eukaryota; Viridiplantae; Streptophyta; Magnoliopsida; Lamiales; Gesneriaceae.
UCGAGACCUGCAAAGCAAACCCGCGAACACGUUUCCAACACGCUUGGGUUCGCGCCGUCGGAUGGCUCGGCAUCCCUCGUCGCGCUCCCUUAUCGACGACGCACGCUUGCGUGGGUCGUUCGGUUUAACGAACAUCCCGGCGCGAGAAUCCCGUGAACCAUCGAGUCUUUGAACGCAAGUUGCGCCCGAAGCCAUUAGGUCGAGGGCNCGUCUGCCUGGGCGUCACGCAUCGCNUCGCCNNCUCCCACCCCUCUGCGAGAGCGGGUGAAUCCAAGGGGACGGACAUUGGCCUCCCGUGCUCUUCUCGUGCGGCCGGCUUAAAUUUGAGUCCUCGUCGACGGAUGUCACGACUAGUGGUGGUUGGAUCAAUCGCGUGCUGUCGUGCAAGACCCCGUCGGACUGUGGACGUCAGUACCGUCCCAGUAAUGCCACGCGCAUUCGACU